Rhypophila decipiens is the source of this 114-nucleotide non-coding RNA. The record is from the annotation of a GenBank genome assembly. Lineage: Eukaryota; Fungi; Ascomycota; Sordariomycetes; Sordariales; Naviculisporaceae.
GGCAAGAUGGCCGAGCGGUCUAAGGCGCCACGUUAAGGUGUUACCUUGAUUACAAUCUGUUUCGCAUGGAUUCCGUGGUCCGAAAGGGCGUGGGUUCGAAUCCCACUCUUGUCA